CAAAUUUGAAAUCUGGCCCUAGCGGUCCGAGUUGUAAUUUGUAGAGGAUGCUUUUGGUUAGGUGCCUUCUGAGUUCCCUGGAACGGGACGCCAGAGAGGGUGAGAGCCCCGUACGGUUGGACACCGAGCCUCUAUAUAGCUCCUUCGACGAGUCGAGUAGUUUGGGAAUGCUGCUCUAAAUGGGAGGUAAAUUUCUUCUAAAGCUAAAUACCGGCCAGAGACCGAUAGCGCACAAGUAGAGUGAUCGAAAGAUGAAAAGUACUUUGAAAAGAGGGUUAAAUAGCACGUGAAAUUGUUGAAAGGGAAGCGUUUGCGACCAGACUUUUUCCAGGCGGAUCAUCCGGUGUUCUCACCGGUGCACUUCGCCUGGUUUAGGC
This 377-nucleotide ribosomal RNA is filed under the name Sordariomycetes sp. genotype 13. RNAcentral's name for it is "eukaryotic LSU rRNA". It matches the Rfam family "Eukaryotic large subunit ribosomal RNA", at positions 110 to 498 of the family's 3401-position model. The record is from RNAcentral. Lineage: Eukaryota; Fungi; Ascomycota; Sordariomycetes.